This 30-nucleotide non-coding RNA is filed under the name Homo sapiens (human). Lineage: Eukaryota; Metazoa; Chordata; Mammalia; Primates; Hominidae. The record is from RNAcentral.
UAUCUUCUUAAAGAGAUUUGUACCCUUUGC